GCCAGACUCCUACGGGAGGCAGCAGUGGGGGAUAUUGCACAAUGGGGGGAACCCUGAUGCAGCGACGCCGCGUGGGUGAAGGAGCGUUUCGGCGCGUAAAGCCCUAUCGGCAGGGAAGAAGGAGGACGGUACCUGACUAAGAAGCCCCGGCUAACUACGUGCCAGCAGCCGCGGUAAUACGUAGGGGGCAAGCGUUAUCCGGAUUUACUGGGUGUAAAGGGGGCGCAGACGGCAGCGCAAGCCAGGAGUGAAGGCCCGGGGCCCAGCCCCGGGACUGCUCUUGGAACUGCGGGGCUGGAGUGCAGGAGGGGCAGGCGGAAUUCCUGGGGUAGCGGUGAAAUGCGUAGAUAUCAGGAGGAACGCCGGUGGCGAAGGCGGCCUGCUGGACUGCGACUGACGUUGAGGCCCGAAAGCGUGGGGAGCAAACAGGAUUAGAUACCCGAGUAA
This 447-nucleotide ribosomal RNA is filed under the name uncultured bacterium. RNAcentral's name for it is "partial 16S ribosomal RNA". It matches the Rfam family "Bacterial small subunit ribosomal RNA", at positions 330 to 793 of the family's 1533-position model. The record is from RNAcentral.